This 408-nucleotide ribosomal RNA is filed under the name Triticum aestivum (bread wheat). Its description in RNAcentral is "partial small subunit ribosomal RNA". Lineage: Eukaryota; Viridiplantae; Streptophyta; Magnoliopsida; Poales; Poaceae. The record is from RNAcentral.
AUGUCCGCUGGUGGGUGGAGCUCGAGCUUGCCAGCAGCACCUCACCUACAACGUGGCCGCCUGGCCGCCGGCACUGCUGCUCGCGCGCACGCGCGGCCGGCGCGGCUGCUGCUCACUCAAGUAAACGGCUGCUGCUGCUCGCUCCCGUCACCGCUGCUGCUCGCUCCCGUCGCCGCUGCUGCUCGUGGUCGGCGCCGCUGCUGCAUAUGGCAGGUCGGUAAGAAGGCGCACCAGAGAGCUCCGCCGCCGCCGCCCCUAGUCGUGCCCCACAUCGGCCUCCGCCACGCCCUCAAAAUCUAUCGAUGUCGGCCAUCAGAAGCUCCUGGUGCCGGCCCUCCGAUACCCACGGCGGCUGCGGCUCCGGCGGCCGCGAGAGCUGCUGCUCCGGUGGGAAGGGGGGAGCGCUAA